Molecule: ribosomal RNA, 406 nt
Filed under: Erwinia sp. AE_79
Lineage: Bacteria; Pseudomonadati; Pseudomonadota; Gammaproteobacteria; Enterobacterales; Erwiniaceae
Description: bacterial SSU rRNA
Rfam family: Bacterial small subunit ribosomal RNA
Source: RNAcentral
UCUGGCUCAGAUUGAACGCUGGCGGCAGGCCUAACACAUGCAAGUCGAACGGUAGCACAGAGAGCUUGCUCUCGGGUGACGAGUGGCGGACGGGUGAGUAAUGUCUGGGAAACUGCCCGAUGGAGGGGGAUAACUACUGGAAACGGUAGCUAAUACCGCAUAACGUCUUCGGACCAAAGUGGGGGACCUUCGGGCCUCACACCAUCGGAUGUGCCCAGAUGGGAUUAGCUAGUAGGUGGGGUAAUGGCUCACCUAGGCGACGAUCCCUAGCUGGUCUGAGAGGAUGACCAGCCACACUGGAACUGAGACACGGUCCAGACUCCUACGGGAGGCAGCAGUGGGGAAUAUUGCACAAUGGGCGCAAGCCUGAUGCAGCCAUGCCGCGUGUAUGAAGAAGGCCUUCGGG